UGGUUCCGGCAUCGAUGAAGAACGCAGCGAAAUGCGAUACGUAGUGUGAAUUGCAGAAUUCAGUGAAUCAUCGAGUCUUUGAACGCACAUUGCGCCCUUUGGUAUUCCGAGGGGCACGCCUGUUCGAGCGUCAUUUCAACCCUCAAGCCUGGCUUGGUCUUGGGCCGCGCCUCUCCGCGGCGGGCCCCAAACUCGUUGGCGGCGUUGGCUCCCCGAGCGUGACAGAAUCACGAUGACGGGAGAGAGCGCCCGCGCGAUCAUAUUUUCUCACGGUUGACCUCGGAUCAGGCGGGGAUACCCGCUGA
Molecule: unclassified non-coding RNA, 305 nt
Filed under: uncultured fungus
Lineage: Eukaryota; Fungi
Description: partial contains 5.8S ribosomal RNA and internal transcribed spacer 2
Rfam family: 5.8S ribosomal RNA (bases 1-133)
Source: RNAcentral